Molecule: signal recognition particle RNA, 264 nt
Filed under: Clostridiales bacterium
Lineage: Bacteria; Bacillati; Bacillota; Clostridia; Eubacteriales
Description: signal recognition particle sRNA large type
Rfam family: Bacterial large signal recognition particle RNA
About the family: The signal recognition particle (SRP) is a universally conserved ribonucleoprotein involved in the co-translational targeting of proteins to membranes. Archaeal SRP consists of a 7S RNA and homologues of the eukaryotic SRP19 and SRP54 proteins.
Source: RNAcentral
CUGUGCUAGCCGGGGAGGCAGCGGUGCCCUGUACCUGCAAUCCGCUAUAGCAGGGGUGAACUCCUGUCUGAGGCAUACUGCUGUAAGGUCAGCUUUAUUCAGGAAGCGUUGAUAAUUGGGUCCUGUGCAAUAGAAAUUUGUGAACGCGUCAGGUCCGGAAGGAAGCAGCGAUAAGCAGAUACUUCUAUGUGCCGCAGAUUUGCCUGAUUUGAGCAGACUGUAUAAAAAGCGCUUGGAACAGUUUUGUCAAGGCCAGGUGCACAG